RNAcentral lists this unclassified non-coding RNA (464 nucleotides) under uncultured bacterium. Its description in RNAcentral is "partial contains 16S rRNA, ITS and 23S rRNA". The record is from RNAcentral.
CCGGAAGGUGCGGCUGGAUCACCUCCUUUCUAAGGAGCAUCUGGCAUUCGGGUUUCGGUUCGAGUGUCCAGGCGCCAGUUCAGCACCGAAUGUGUGUUGCUGGUAGCUCAUGGGUGGAACAUUUGACUUGGUGUCAGGCAUGAUGUGUCCGGGUUUAGUACGUGGUUUGCCACUGGAACGAUCUGGUUCGGAGUUGUUGAUACAUGCACGCUGUUGGGUCCUGAGGGGCCGGGCGCUGACGGGGGUCUGUGGAUUCUUUGUUGGUGUUUGUUCCUCGAGGGCCUGUCUUGGCGCCGGUGUUUCGGUGGCUGGGGUGGGUACCGCCCGUACUUUGAGAACUACACAGUGGACGCGAGCAUCUUCCAUGCAACUCUUUGGGGUUGUGUGGUGAAGAUGAUCUUAAAGAUCAUUAGUCAAUUUUUUGACGAUUCAACUCAUGUGAUUUCAAGUCUUUAAGAGCAAAC